Molecule: ribosomal RNA, 460 nt
Filed under: uncultured bacterium
Lineage: Bacteria
Description: bacterial SSU rRNA
Rfam family: Bacterial small subunit ribosomal RNA
Source: RNAcentral
AACGAACGCUGGCGGCAUGCCUAACACAUGCAAGUCGAACGGGAUCCUGGCUUCGGCCAGGUGAGAGUGGCGGACGGGUGAGUAACACGUGGGAAUCUGCCUUUUGGUUCGGGAUAACCGCGGGAAACUGCGGCUAAUACCGGAUGCUCCCGAGAGGGAAAAGAUUUAUCGCCAGAAGAGGAGCCCGCGUCCGAUUAGGUAGUUGGUAGGGUAAUGGCCUACCAAGCCAACGAUCGGUAGCUGGUCUGAGAGGAUGAUCAGCCACACUGGGACUGAGAUACGGCCCAGACUCCUACGGGAGGCAGCAGUGGGGAAUAUUGGACAAUGGGGGCAACCCUGAUCCAGCAAUGCCGCGUGAGUGAUGAAGGCCCUAGGGUUGUAAAGCUCUUUUACCAGGGAUGAUAAUGACAGUACCUGGAGAAUAAGCUCCGGCUAACUCCGUGCCAGCAGCCGCGGUAAU